Molecule: ribosomal RNA, 308 nt
Filed under: uncultured archaeon
Lineage: Archaea
Description: bacterial SSU rRNA
Rfam family: Archaeal small subunit ribosomal RNA
Source: RNAcentral
CGGUCAUGCAAGUCCUCCGUUAAAUCCACCUGCUUAACAGAUGGGCUGCGGAGGAUACUACAAGGCUAGGAGGCGGAAGAGGCAAGCGGUACUCAGUGGGUAGGGGUAAAAUCCUCUGAUCCAUUGAAGACCACCAGUGGCGAAGGCGGCUUGCCAAUACGCGCUCGACGGUGAGGGAUGAAAGCUGGGGGAGCAAACCGGAUUAGAUACCCGGGUAGUCCCAGCUGUAAACGAUGCAGACUCGGUGAUGGGCCGGCUUUAUGCCGGCUCAGUGCCGCAGGGAAGCCGUUAAGUCUGCCGCCUGGGGA